Molecule: long non-coding RNA, 286 nt
Organism: Ctenocephalides felis (cat flea)
Lineage: Eukaryota; Metazoa; Arthropoda; Insecta; Siphonaptera; Pulicidae
Exons: 2
Source: RefSeq, a predicted model, not a curated record
AAAAUGAAAAGUGGAAGCUACUAUUUAGCUUUGUGCAUUCUGAUUGGCAUCUUUAUUAAUUGUUAUGGUACAUUAGUAAGAGAAUGCCACAAAUUGGAAGAAAAUGCCGGACACUGCAAUCACCCAAACAUGAUGUUAGGAAUUUGCCUUCAACCUUGCAAAGGGCCUCAUGCACCUUUUUCCGAUUGCAUAGGAGAUUGUUGCAGGUGCAAAACAGGAUUCAAAAUGGAUUAUGCUACUUGCCAAUGCAAUCCUGAAAAUAAUGAAUGAAAAAUAUAUAUGAAAA